Long non-coding RNA from Cuculus canorus (common cuckoo), 7050 nucleotides. RefSeq lists it as uncharacterized. NCBI's taxonomy places the organism in Eukaryota, Metazoa, Chordata, Aves, Cuculiformes, Cuculidae. The transcript has 3 exons. The record is from RefSeq and is a predicted model, not a curated record.
GCGGUUUUUUGUAGGUUAGCAAUUAAUUGUCAUCUUAUUCUAUAAAUUUUUAAACGAACAGUGAUCAGUUCUUAAAAAGAUUUUUCACUCUUCUUAACACUCAUGGUAAUGUUUUGUUGUGUACUUGUUUGUGUGUGUGUGUGCAUGCGUAUGAUAUAUUUUGUACAUGCACAAACCAAUAGUAUUUUACAAGGCCUUAUAGUGUAUUUGUUGGGAUGGGACAACUAUUAUGAUAUAAAAUACAGCAAUGCAGUGGUUCACAUUUUAUAGAAUAUCAGACUACAAACACUCCCCUCUGGUGGAGGGAACAGUUGCAAUAAAAUAGUUAUAUAAAGCAUAAUUAAAGUGCAGUAAUAUUUUUAACACUGCAUGGAUUUUUUUCUUUUCUUUUAGUAUCCUAUGGAGAUGUUCUGAAAUCACCAGAGGUCUGGCGAAGAUGAUUGUGUUUUCUAGUAGGAUGCUAAGGGUUUGGCUCAUAUAAUUGAGUGGAUGUGGAAAUGAAUAAGACUAUCCUGUCAUAGGCUGUAACAAAGCCAAAUAGCAUAGAUCCUAACGUGGGUGUACAGUUCUUACGAUUACAGCAAAAGGAGAGAUAUAUCCUUAGUGAAUCCCUAGAUAAGAUCAUAAUGGAACUCUGUGACUCAUCUGAAGGUGUGAGUUUACUAGAAACCUUCAAAAGAUGGGCACUAAAAAGACAUGUUUUGCAAAUAAAUAAAAAGACGACGAAGUGUCCAGGAGUGAACUCUGAUAAAUGUACAGAUAAUGCACAGAUCAAUGUUAGCAUGCAUUUAUUCCAAUGCAUAGUUGUGAAAUGGAAGAGGUAUUUUGCAGACACUUCGCACCAUGACUCAGUCUCAGAAAUAGAGUAUCUGAAACAGGUCAGGGUAAAAAUGGUGUAGUGGGCAGAAAGACUGAGAUAACCUUAAUAUACUUGUGAACCCCAUUUAUUACGUAGUUUUAUGAUCUGAUACAUGGUUCUGUAGUUUAAGCUCAGAUAUAAUCAAUGAAACCGUAUACAUGAAUUAUGUACAUUAUAAUUUGAGUGCAAAACUUCUAUCAACAACAAAUUUUGUCUCACUUAUAUCCUUAGACCAAUAUGGCAACCUAAGUGCUAACCACUGAAAUAUCUACGUAUUCAGCCAUGGAGCUGAGACUUCUCUGACGUCUACUCUUAAAGACAUAGGUCAGGGUGUCCAUAGAUUCUCUUUCCACCUUUCCUCUUAGGCUCUGUGGAAUGCCUUGAAGCACAUAUAUCAAUUAUCAAGUCAAUACAUAAAUUAUCUGCUGCCUCUGGCACAUGGAAUUGUAGCAACAGGCUGCCAGCUUUAAAAUUUGGCUGAAAAAGCACUCAAUAGUGGGCCACUGCAUAUACCCUUUUGGCAACUACAUGGGAUUCUAGAGAGCAACAAUGACCGUCAUGGAAAAUCUCCCCUGUCGGUGCUCCAGGCAUGUCUUCUAGGCAUGGGCAAACCCAGUGAGAAGACAGGAAUUGAGCAACUGAUAAACUCCUGUGCAGAGCAAAGGUCUGCCCGUAUCCAUGGAGAACGUGAAAAGUGUUCAGGGAUCCCUGUGUGCUGCUGGUAAAGUAGAUUACUGUUCCCUUUCAAGUAGCAGCAUGUGCAGUGUUGUACAAACAUUUUACUCUUUCUGUGGAGGCUUUGUUUAAUGAUAGUGACCCGUACUUUUGCAGAAACCUUGAACUAUUCUCUCCAAGUGAUGCAUGAAAUGUAACGAUAACAUGGAAAAUGAAAAAAACCUGUUAAGAAAGGCUAGAGAGCAAGAUCAGCAGAAACGCACAGAGGUCUGGUCUGGUAUGGUGACAGCAGCCGAACUACAGACUCAAUGAUUAAGUCAUAUUUACAUUUUAUGUAUACUGAAUGUUCUACCUGUCUCUAAUAUCUUCCUAUCCCUGCAGGCAUGAUCUACUUAGGAGAGUUUUUUGAGUGAAUUCAUUCAGAUAUACAAAUCAAAGUUUUAUUAUGUUUCCUGUUAUCAAAGACUGGAACGAGACAAAGAGGAGCUUUCUUAAGACUGCUUGUGAAGACGCUCUGUAGUUGUUACUCCACCUUCAGUAAAUGUAGCUGAAAAUGAGCCAGUCCACUAAACCUCAGCUUCCCCUUUACAGCAGGGGCUCUCAGAGAGGUUGUCAUGUGGAAACUUUUCUCACAUUUGCCAUGCUACUCAGAGGAGAAGUCCAGAGAAAGAGCACCUUCUAAUAUUUCUUGAGGGGAGGUGGUUGCAAGAUAAGUGGUCAGGAGAAACCUAAGGUUUCAGCCUCUAUUAUAAUUUUUUCCCCCUCCUGCUGAUGUGAUUUUAAACCAGGAUGCUUACCUUACUUGGCCAUAUGUCUCUGUUACACAAGUGCUGUACCAUGUUUUCCUCCUCUCUAUGUUUUUUACGAUAGACACUAAACAAAGGAGCAUGUCACAAGUGUAACUGUCACAGCUGACCUUCCUGACUUGGGUUCCCCUUCGUUCUGGGUAGCUCAUGCUGAGCUCACGCUCAUACCUCUUGAACAUACCUCACGUCAGACUCUGCAGUAGCAGCGUGUAAUGGCAACCUCCCAUUUUUGUCAGGUAUGUUCUGCUUAGCACCGUUUCUGAGGAGGCUGACACAGCCUUCCAGCCAACCCUAAAAAAGAAAUUAGAGCAUGUCAAAGAGAAAAGUGAAUGCAUCAGGCCAUAUCUUUGCUUGGUGGUUCUAGUGUCCACGUGUGACUAUAGCUGUUUCUGCCAGCAGAGAAACUGAUCUUUCAUUUCCCCAACAGAGGUCUCUCAGCACCCAGACUAGUUCCCCUUACUGGUUUUCCCUGGUAAAUCUCAGACUGGAUCAGUCAUUCAUUUUUGCAAUAAGGUAUUUUCAUUUUGUUUUUUCUGCAGCUGUGGCAAGUACCUACUGAGUAGAGUGAUUAAAAAACUGGUAAUUCCUGUGUCACUAGCAAAUGCUGCAUAUAUUCCUGCAUGUGGAUUUAAUUAUGCUAGGUUAAACCAAGAACAAGAGCACUUAAAUUCAUUUCCUUUAUGACAUUUUAGCAAAGAUGGCAAAUCAAUAGUAAAAAGCUUUAGUGUGGUCAUAUAGACAUUGUUGCAGAAGUUUGAAUUAGCAUAAAUUUUAGACUGAAAACAGCACCAAAACAGACAGGAUGAAUAAGUUCUUGGACUAAAACUUUCUGUUGAUCACCUCAACAAAAAAGCAAGCAAAUAAUUUGGUUAUGACUGCAUAACUCUUUCAGCCCCAGGGAAACCAAGCAUGUGUUUAAGUGUUUUGUUCAAUCCAUAAAGACUGUUCCCUCCUGUAUAAGCUAUGUCAGAUUGACACUACUAGUGUUUAUAAAAGGCAUGGGAUGAUGGAAUCAGAACAUGCCUGUUGCAGCUCCUGGUGGAAGUACAAGACCACCGAAUUCUGCUUUUGAUUUUGGCUAUGAAGCUCUGCUGAGUUCAGUUCUCUGGGCAGUCAUCGCAGCCAAAUGCUCUGUAGACCUCUGAUUAUAUCCGUCACAGAAACUGAAAUGGAAACUUCGAAGCCUGGGUGGUUUAAAACUUUUCCAGUAAUUUCUUUUUUUUCCCAAGGAAUAUUUUUUCCCCUCUGGGAAAAGGGGAAGGGAAAAAGGAAAAUGACACUAAUUAUGGGAUUUUUUGAAAAUAUCUGGCAGAGGAAAUGCUUAUUCUCAAGUAAGCGGAGAAUGCUCCUUGCAUUGAAUGACACUGCCUGUUUUGCUAUUUUCUACACUUAUUUUCUGGCUGAAUAUUGCAUAGCUGAGCAGAAGCAUUGUUUUAGUACUGAAUUUGCAGGAAGAAGCCAGAUUCAAGGGCUGUGGUAUAAUUAGUAACCUGUUUAAAUGAAUUGGCAAUCAUCCAGCUGUAACUUACACUUUGCAGCAUAGGUGAACAUUCCUUCCUCCUUUCUGUCCAGUUAAUAAUGGAAGCCCACAGUCAACCCCUCUCCCAACUAACUUGGUCCCCAUCCUCUCUCUGAAUCCUGAUUUCCCUCCAGUAAGGAGAAGACUAAGGAGAAGAGAAUCACCCUCGUGUUAUUCAGACAGGGCUCCACAUCUCCCUUCCCAGACUUCUCAAUGGGACGUCUGCCCUACUAUCACUUUGAUGUGGGUUGGCUGGGGGAUUGGAUUGCUUGUGAUCUGAGUAUCUUCACUGGCACCUGCAGUGCCCUGAACUGGUGCCCUGGCCACCAGAAAUUGAGAUAGGAAUGCCCUCUCUGGAGUAUAAAAAUCUGAUGCUGACAGCAGGAGAGGAGAAGUUAAUCUGCAUAUUAAGAACAAGAAGGGACUUUCUAGUGCAUAGAAACAAGUGGUUUUCUUGAAACCACAUAAAGUACUCUGGAUCUAGUGAGAACUCCACAGCAUUUUGGACUUUACAAUCUGAAAGAGAAGGGAUGCUCUGACAGUAGUUCUGAUCAUUUCCUAAUAAUCAUUGCUUCCAACUCUGCAUUAUAGUGAAGUUUACAAUUUCACUGUUGUCUAGAACCAAACGUUUUGUACUUUUUUUUCUUUCCAUAUUAUAAAAACAAAUAUUUGGUCUGUACGUUUACUCCCUUCAUCUAUCUUUCCAUCGUUCUUCCCAAGCCUCGGUACCAGAUAAGUUGCCAGAGAUAAACUGGUACGUCCACAAGCAUCUUGAGUAUUAAUAUUGGCUCCCAUCUUCAGCAGAAGCUUCACUGUAUCAACCUGGCGCCCUGACACAGCAUGCAUCAAAGCACUCCAGGAUGGAAGGGUCUUCUCGAAUCACAGCAGUUAGUGUAUUCACAUCGCCAUUAGCUGCUGCUUGGAAAACCACAGUCAAGUCAAUCUCUUCUGCUGCAUCACCUGCAGGGGAGGAGUAUGUCCGUGAGCCCUGUGACCUGCUGUUGAAGAGAGGAUCAGAAGAUGAUAGCUACUGGUUUCUUCCCUCCUCCCACACUACAUCUUGCUCCAGGUUACGCUUAGUCACACACGUAGGGACACGCUUGUGUUUCAGUGUGACAUGUAAUUUCUGACACCAUGGACUGUGGGGACUGGCUUUUCAUCCAUCUGCUGCUAGCAUCAGUGUUUUUUUUUAAUCUGGAACGACUUGCCUGUUUGUAUUCCACGCAAGGAUGUACAAGAGACUAUAAGAAAUAAAGGAAGAAAUAAAUGGGGGGAAAAAGGCAGAAAAAAAUUGAAAAGUGAUUCAGAAGUGUGUCUGCUCUUUCCGUUCAAGCCACUGUACAGAAACUAUACUCCUAUUGUAGGACAAAGACCUUUGAGCACAGUGAGAUGUGUUUAUGCUGCUCCUAUCAAAGAGCCUUUCAUCUCCACAAAGCAAAUUAUUAACACAUUCCACUGAAGAUGUGGGGGUGGAGGCUUGGCCUUGGAAAAAAAGCUGGCCAAAAAUGAACAUUUUUUUAUAAACACUUUUAAUGAUAGUGAAUGGCACCUUGCCAAGACCCUUAUGCCCAGUGAAGCACUGCAGGCUGAUUGUUUGUCUGGAGAAGUCCUGUGGGCUAAGCCUUUUGUGCUGAGGAAUUUCUCAUUUGAAAGGCAGUGGUGUGGGAGGUGUGGGCCUUUCCAGGUUCAUCGAGUUAAGGUCUGCACUGCCAGUUGCCUUCAACCUGCACUAGAGACUGAUUUUUUUGGAUGAAUGAACACCCACCUCUGUUCCAGGCAGUAAAUCUUGGCCUCUCAGGAGAAGCUGAAAACAUGAGGAGUAUCCUACACAAAAUACGUAGAACAGCUCUGUUAAUAGACAACUCCCUGUGCCUCCCAGUAUCCUGUGCAGAUGUCUGGCUACCUAGCAAAAAUUUUGCUUACUGUUAUUCUAUGAAUGAGUAAAUAUUUUAUGCAUUCUCCCUUGCCCCAUGGAUCAAUAUUGGCUUGCUCAGGAAAAAUGCUUAUUCUUAGUAUACAGAGACUUGAAGUAAGGCAGUUUAUCAAGAAUUACUAUAAAAAUUCUUACUUUUCGCCAGCUUUUUUUUUUCUGAUUCAAUUGAAAGUAGUGCCAUCAUCUUCAUAAGCAUCAUAUUUCUUCAUUGCUAUUAUUGCCACAACACAGGAUGUCUGCAUAUAUAUGUAUACGUCAUUUAUAUAUAUAAAUGGAUUGCAAAGACUUAUACAGGUUCCUGUGAUUCAAAGGACAGCUGCUGUCCUUGGAAAACAAUGCAUAUCUUCUGGACCAGUGUAUAAGUAGAGCUCAACAUGCACCAGGAAAUGGGAGCAUCUCUGUUUCUGUCCAGCUCUUCUACAGUUAACAUUUAGUCUUUGGGCAGCCAUGGACCCUGAGGGGGAAUGAGAGUUUCUAUAUGCUUGUUGUUCUCACAUAUAUUUAUGCUCGUGUGUUAGCUGAUUCCCCAGUUAACUUAAGAUACUUCAGGAGAUCCUUCUUCAAAUGUUUUUUUUUUUCCCGAAUGCUCAUAGUGAACACCACUAGGAAGUGGGUCUGGAGUUCGAACAAAAACCCACUUGCCAGUUGUGAUUUGUGAUGUACAGACUGGCCCAUGAUCCACAGUAAGGAAUAGUGCCAGCUGAGACUAUAAAAAUUAGGCCUCUGUGAUUUUCUGCUCCCUGCAAACGUUUCAUGCUCAAGAAAGCAAUCAGAACUGUGUGGAAAAAGCAAUUCCAGUUUGUGGAAGACACCAAUAUUUAAAAAGUUAAUCUUAUUCUUAUUUCUGACAAACAAAGGCUUAAAAAAUACUCUGUUAAAAGAGGGAAGAUCCUGGUUUAUAAUACAUAGUGUCCAAGCUGUAAGGGCACAGGAGCCCCGUAAUCUUAAACUGAAGGCAGCUGAUCUGAGACCUAAGGACUUAGCAAAGACUGGGAACUGCCAGGAGGACUCCUGGCUCCUUCAUCACCCUUCGGUCCAGGUGGAUUGAUGAGGAAUCAGUAAAAAAAUCUACAAAAUCGCACUGUGUUGUUGGAACUUUUGCAUUUAGACAAGUUGGCAAUUUCAAAUAAAACCCCAGUCCUGUCAAAAAUUCUCUACUUGUCUUGAUUUGUGUGAGACAUGAGUCAGGUACAGGCUAGCAAUACAAUGUUUAUAAUGCAAGGAAUGGUAAACCUGCAUGAUGUUUCAAAUAUGGUAU